RNAcentral lists this ribosomal RNA (253 nucleotides) under uncultured prokaryote. RNAcentral describes it as "partial 16S ribosomal RNA". It matches the Rfam family "Bacterial small subunit ribosomal RNA", at positions 525 to 777 of the family's 1533-position model. The record is from RNAcentral.
ACGGAGGGUGCAAGCGUUAAUCGGAAUUACUGGGCGUAAAGCGUGCGUAGGUGGUUCGUUAAGUCCGUUGUGAAAGCCCCGAGCUCAACUUGGGAAUUGCAGUGGAUACUGGCGAGCUGGAGUGCGGUAGAGGAAGGUGGAAUUCCCGGUGUAGCGGUGAAAUGCGUAGAGAUCGGGAGGAACACCAGUGGCGAAGGCGGGUCUCUGGGCAUCUCCUGACGCUGUGGCGCGAAAGCGUGGGGAGCAAACGGGA